UACGUAGGGUGCGAGCGUUAAUCGGAAUUACUGGGCGUAAAGCGUGCGCAGGCGGUGAUGUAAGACCGAUGUGAAAUCCCCGGGCUUAACCUGGGAACUGCAUUGGUGACUGCAUUGCUGGAGUAUGGCAGAGGGGGGUGGAAUUCCACGUGUAGCAGUGAAAUGCGUAGAUAUGCGGAGGAACACCGAUGGCGAAGGCAAUCCCCUGGACCUGUACUGACGCUCAUGCACGAAAGCGUGGGGAGCAAACAGG
Molecule: ribosomal RNA, 253 nt
Filed under: uncultured bacterium
Lineage: Bacteria
Description: partial 16S ribosomal RNA
Rfam family: Bacterial small subunit ribosomal RNA
Source: RNAcentral